CGACCGGCGCACGGGUGCGUAACGCGUAUGUAACCUACCUUUUACUGGGGGAUAGCCCGGAGAAAUUCGGAUUAACACCGCAUAAUAAGUUUGAGUGGCAUCACUUGGAUUUUAAAUAUUUAUAGGUAAGAGAUGGGCAUGCGUCCAAUUAGCUAGUUGGUGAGGUAACGGCUCACCAAGGCGAUGAUUGGUAGGGGUUCUGAGAGGAAGGUCCCCCACACUGGUACUGAGAUACGGACCAG
RNAcentral lists this ribosomal RNA (242 nucleotides) under uncultured bacterium. RNAcentral describes it as "partial 16S ribosomal RNA". It matches the Rfam family "Bacterial small subunit ribosomal RNA", at positions 92 to 334 of the family's 1533-position model. The record is from RNAcentral.